GACGAACGCUGGCGGCGUGCUUAACACAUGCAAGUCGAACGGGUCUGCCCUGUUUUUUGCGGGGUGGGUCAGUGGCGAACGGGUGAGUAACACGUGAGUAACCUGCCCCUCACUUCUGGAUAACCGCUUGAAAGGGUGGCUAAUACGGGGUGUUCUGGCUGUGCCGCAUGGUGUGGCUGGGAAAGAUUCACUUUUGUGGUGUUUUGGUGGGGGAUGGGCUCGCGGCCUAUCAGCUUGUUGGUGGGGUGAUGGCCUGCCAAGGCCUUGACGGGUAGCCGGCCUGAGAGGGUGGGCGGUCACACUGGGACUGAGAUACGGCCCAGACUCCUGCGGGAGGCAGCAGUGGGGGGUAUUGCACAAUGGGCGGAAGCCUGAUGCAGCGACGUCGCGUGAGGGAUGGAGGCCUUCGGGUUGUGAACCUCUUUCGCCGGUGAAGAAGGUCCUGCUCUUUGUGGUGGGGUUGACGGUAGCCGGGUUAUGAAGCGCCGGCUAACUACGUG
Molecule: ribosomal RNA, 500 nt
Filed under: uncultured bacterium
Lineage: Bacteria
Description: partial 16S ribosomal RNA
Rfam family: Bacterial small subunit ribosomal RNA
Source: RNAcentral